GCCCAGCCCGACGUAUAGCCCACAACGGCCCAGGCCCAAUACAAGAGAUUAUAUUUUUUUGAAGUGGCAUGUGUGUUCUAUAUUGUCUGUUCUGAUACGCUUAAUUGCUUAUCAUCAUCACCUGGUUUGCAUGUUUGGAAAUCGAAUGGCAAAACCGGUGGUGCUUUGUAGUACACCACCACAAAUUGAAUCGCUACGACGUUUUGGAAUUUUGCCGCCACCAAAUGCUCUUCGAUUUCCAUCGUUUUGCUGCAAAGCCAGCUCCGCCAUCCAAUGUAAUAACAUGAGUUCUUCAACCAGAAUCUUUAUCAAAGGGCUUCCUCAAUCAACCUCUGAAGGACGUUUAAUGAAGGCGUUUUCAGAGUUCGGUGAUGUUACACAAGUCAAGGUUCCAAUAGAUAAAGAAUCAGGGCAAUCUUUAGGAUAUGCAUAUAUUGGGUUUGACAAGGAAGAGUCUGCGAAAUCAGCUGUGAAAGAGAUGAAUGGAAAGUUUUUUGAUGGGAGGUUUAUUUAUGUUACCACCGCAAAGCCUGUAUCAUCGAAAAGUCAGAAGAGGCCAACUGCCUACAAAUUUUAAUCACAUGAGCUCUGUUUCUGUGGACCACAUAUUCAUGUAAGAGGCAACUUAAUUAUGAAUUUCUAACACUCCGGCAGUGCUGGAUUGGAGCUAUAGGAAACUCUGAAGUGGAGGGAGACUCUCUAAAGACCAACAAAAUGUGCUAGUAAUAGGAUUGGAGCUAAGUUGUAGAACACUUGUGGAUUACUAAUGCCUUAAAAGGCUGAAAGGGGUAACUGAAGUUGAUUAGCAUAAUGGAAACUCAAGAAGGCAAAGUAGUUUUUCAAGAAAGGAGAAGUUAAAGGAUGUUAAUGCAGUUCUAGAGCAUUGGUAAUCUACAAGACAACUACAACAGCAGAGCGUGCUACCGUUGUUAAUCCAUUUGCACGCCAAAUAAGAACUUCACAACUGAUCAGUAUUUCACCUGUUAUGCCCUUUCUCUGUCUGAUUAGUUUUUACUUUUUAACAAUUCAGAUUUUGUUUCUCUGAGAACUAUAAAGCCCUGCUCUGCACAAAUUUUGGUGGUUUGUAUUGGAAAAUAAUCAUUUAUUUAUAAGCUAUUCUUAACCGCUUUUUAAAGUUAGCUCAAAACUAGCUUAAGCGAUCCGCAGUUUCAAACACUAGCUUAAGCGCUUAUAAAAUAAGGUUAAAUAAACUGUUUCAAACAAAAUUUUAGUAAGAAGCGACAUU
This is an RNA transcript of Lotus japonicus, 1246 nucleotides long. It is a transcript of the gene named glycine-rich RNA-binding protein 4, mitochondrial, with no coding region annotated. The transcript is spliced from 5 exons. The record is from RefSeq and is a predicted model, not a curated record. Lineage: Eukaryota; Viridiplantae; Streptophyta; Magnoliopsida; Fabales; Fabaceae.